Molecule: ribosomal RNA, 530 nt
Filed under: uncultured bacterium
Lineage: Bacteria
Description: bacterial SSU rRNA
Rfam family: Bacterial small subunit ribosomal RNA
Source: RNAcentral
UGGGGAAUAUUGCACAAUGGGCGAAAACCUGAUGCAGCGACGCCGCGUGAGGGAUGACGGCCUUCGGGUUGUAAACCUCUUUCGACAGGGACGAAGCGCAAGUGACGGUACCUGUAGAAGAAGCACCGGCCAGCUACGUGCCAGCAGCCGCGGUAAUACGUAGGGUGCGAGCGUUGUCCGGAAUUACUGGGCGUAAAGAGCUUGUAGGCGGUUUGUCGCGUCGUCUGUGAAAACUCACAGCUCAACUGUGAGCUUGCAGGCGAUACGGGCAGACUUGAGUACUGCAGGGGAGACUGGAAUUCCUGGUGUAGCGGUGAAAUGCGCAGAUAUCAGGAGGAACACCGGUGGCGAAGGCGGGUCUCUGGGCAGUAACUGACGCUGAGAAGCGAAAGCGUGGGUAGCGAACAGGAUUAGAUACCCUGGUAGUCCACGCCGUANCGGUGGGUACUAGGUGUGGGUUUCCUUCCACGGGAUCCGUGCCGUAGCUAACGCAUUAAGUACCCCGCCUGGGGAGUACGGCCGCAAGGCUA